This is an RNA transcript of Carya illinoinensis, 1486 nucleotides long. It is a transcript of the gene named serine/arginine-rich SC35-like splicing factor SCL28, with no coding region annotated. The transcript has 8 exons. The record is from RefSeq and is a predicted model, not a curated record. Lineage: Eukaryota; Viridiplantae; Streptophyta; Magnoliopsida; Fagales; Juglandaceae.
ACCGGGAAGCCCUUAACCCUCUCCCUCCAACGCUAGAGCAUCUUUCACAAACACGGACUAUACACGCAUGUAUAGAUAGAUAGAAAAAUAUCACUUCUUCUCCUUUGUUACCCCCAAAGGUUAGGGUUUUACCGUGCUCUGUGUUCAAACCCUCUCCGUCCCUUGGCUCUACCUAUAACCUAUCUGCUCAUAAUCGCAAGAAAGAAGUGAGAGAAUCUGCAGCGAUGGCGAGGUACAGAAGCCGGAGCAGAAGCUACAGCCCUCGCCGGCGGAGCAGAACCCCUCCACGUGGACGCAAGCGAUACGACGACGAGCCUCGCGAUCGCUACCGCGAAAGCAGGUCCUACAGAGACCGUCGCUCCCCUGCUUCUUCUGGCCUGCUCGUCCGCAAUCUCCCCCUUGACGCUAGGCAAGAAGAUCUGAGGAUCCCAUUUGAGCGAUUUGGUCCCGUGAAGGAUGUGUAUCUACCAAAGAACUAUCAUACUGGGGAGCCGCGGGGCUUUGGAUUUGUGAAAUACCGAUAUGCUGAAGAUGCUGCUGAAGCCAAACAACAACUGAACCAUACAGUUAUUGGUGGACGUGAAAUAAGAAUCGUGUUUGCUGAGGAGAAUAGAAAAACGCCUCAAGAAAUGCGUACGAGUUCCCGCGUAAGUGGUCGAUAUGGAAGCAGAAGGAGAACUCCACCAAGGUCCCCUAGACGACGUUACCACUCUUACUCAAGGUCACCUACACCAGCUAGGCGCGACUCAAGGGACCAUGGGGCUAGGGAUGAUUAUCGUUCUCCUUCUCCACUUGAUGAGGGGGACUACAGGAGGUCCCCGAGUCCAAGGGAAAAUGGUCAGAGUCCCCAUGCUGCCAGGGGUUAUGCACCGAGCAGGUCACUGAGUCCAAGGGGUAAAACUCGCAGUCCUUCAAGAUCUCGGUCACGAUCUUACAGUCCUCGCUGAUGGUUGUCAUAUGCUGCUGCUCAUGUGGUGCUCUUCACUGGUUCCAAGCAUAUUUUAAGCAUGACUUUGGCUAGUUGUAUUCUGGAUGGGUACAAUGUUGUCGAUAAUGGCAAACGGCGCAGACCAGUUGAUGUGGCAGCCUUCUUCAUUCACGAUGCUUCCCUCAGUUUUAUCCUCAGACUAGUUUUCUCCUUAGCAGCCCGAAGCUCUUCUCGGUUGUCUCUUAGCCCGUAACCCUCUUUCACGCAGCGGCGCUGGAACACUGGACCGAAUUCCACUGUUACUCAACAAGUAAGUUGCUUUACCAAACUAGCAGUGAGAGGAAAGAAAAUGUGGGGAAAAAUUAAAAAAAAAAACCCUUCAUGAUACCUUUACAGAAUCCUUAAUAGAGCCCCUUCCUGAUCGAUAAUUAGCAAAUAAUUACUAUAUUUCAUAAAUAUGUAUAUAUAUUGCUAUCCCUCCGAUCAUUCGAACCAUACUCUAAAACAAGUCUUGGAACCACCAAGAUUAAAAUUUAUUGUCUUAUUUGCAAAUACACC